UCAGACGAUGCGUCAUGCAUAUCAAUAAGCGGAGGAAAAGAAACUAACAAGGAUUCCCCUAGUAACGGCGAGUGAAGCGGGAAGAGCUCAAAUUUGAAAUCUUAAAGGGUUUCCCUUUACGAAUUGUAGUUUAAAGAAGUGUUUUCUGUUGAGGUUUUGGUAAAAGUUCUUUGGAAUAGGACAUCAUAGAGGGUGAGAAUCCCGUAUUUGACCUUUACUUUCAACUUUGUGAUACACUUUCAAAGAGUCGGAUUGUUUGGGGAUGCAGUCCAAAAUGGGUGGUAAAUUUCAUCUAAAGCUAAAUAUUGGCGAGAGACCGAUAGCGAACAAGUACCGUGAGGGAAAGAUGAAAAGAACUUUGAAAAGAGAGUUAAACAGUACGUGAAAUUGUCAAAAGGGAAGCGUUUGACACCAGUGUUGUUUUUCUGAAAAUCAAUUAAAGAACUGUUUAUGCUAAGCUGUUUAGACUUUAUCAGCUAUCUGUUUAGUUUUGAGCUUUUCUUUAAUGCACUUUUCAGUUAACAAGUCAACAUCAAUUUCUUUUGCUGUAAAAAAGCUUGAGGAAGGUGGCUUGAGAUUCGUCUUAAGUGUUUAUAGCCUCUUGCCUAUGCAGUCGGAGAGAUUGAGGUCUGCAGCGUAGAUCCUUCGGGGCUAAAUGCAUUUGUGCUAAGUUAUAGCAUUUUAUAGACAACUUGUUGACUAUGAUUUGUCUUGUAGCUUACUCGCUUAUGUUAUUUUACCUACGCUUAGGAUGUUGAGCGCAUGUCUCUCUCU
RNAcentral lists this ribosomal RNA (774 nucleotides) under uncultured Neocallimastigales. RNAcentral's name for it is "partial large subunit ribosomal RNA". It matches the Rfam family "Eukaryotic large subunit ribosomal RNA", at positions 18 to 616 of the family's 3401-position model. Lineage: Eukaryota; Fungi; Neocallimastigomycota; Neocallimastigomycetes; Neocallimastigales. The record is from RNAcentral.